RNAcentral lists this ribosomal RNA (253 nucleotides) under uncultured bacterium. RNAcentral's name for it is "partial 16S ribosomal RNA". It matches the Rfam family "Bacterial small subunit ribosomal RNA", at positions 524 to 776 of the family's 1533-position model. The record is from RNAcentral.
UACGGAGGGGGCUAGCGUUGUUCGGAAUUACUGGGCGUAAAGCGCGCGUAGGCGGACCUGCAAGUCGGGGGUGAAAGCCCGAGGCUCAACCUCGGAACUGCCUUCGAUACUGCGGGUCUCGAGUCCGGGAGAGGUGAGUGGAAUUCCUAGUGUAGAGGUGAAAUUCGUAGAUAUUAGGGAGAACACCAGUGGCGAAGGCGGCUCACUGGCCCGGUACUGACGCUGAGGCGCGAAAGCGUGGGGAGCAAACAGG